RNAcentral lists this transfer RNA (67 nucleotides) under Marmota monax (woodchuck). RNAcentral's name for it is "tRNA.Ala". The record is from RNAcentral. Lineage: Eukaryota; Metazoa; Chordata; Mammalia; Rodentia; Sciuridae.
GGUUGUGGCUCAGUGGUAGAGUGUUCGCCUAGCAUGUACAAGGUCCUAGGUUCGAUCCUCAGCACCA